Long non-coding RNA from Brienomyrus brachyistius, 323 nucleotides. RefSeq lists it as uncharacterized. NCBI's taxonomy places the organism in Eukaryota, Metazoa, Chordata, Actinopteri, Osteoglossiformes, Mormyridae. The record is from RefSeq and is a predicted model, not a curated record. The transcript has 3 exons.
GUAAUGAAAGAGGUCUGAGAUCUUAACACAGAGAGAGCAGAUUUAAUGAAUCAUAAACCAAGACACAGGAAGAUCCAACAAAUUAUACAUAAGAAUACAAACACCGAACAACCACAUCCAUCAAAAGCAAGGACGAGUGGAGCUGGCUGUGUCCAGAAGACAUCCAGAAGAUCGUUAGGCCGCUAUUUGGAACCUCCAUCGUGAGGGGCUGAGUCCUGCACUUCUUUCCAUUGGUACAGGGUUAUGGUUUUGAACUAUGACACUGGUCAGCUAUGCCAUUUCAUACUUCCCAACUUUAAUUCUCAAAGGGCACCACAAAGAGG